This 244-nucleotide unclassified non-coding RNA is filed under the name uncultured Agaricales. RNAcentral describes it as "sequence contains ITS1". The record is from RNAcentral. Lineage: Eukaryota; Fungi; Basidiomycota; Agaricomycetes; Agaricales.
UUGAAUAACUUGGUACUGAUGCUGGCUCCUUCACGGGGGCAUGUGCUCGUGCUAUUUUAUUAUCAUCUCUUGUGCACCUUUUGUAGUCUUUGAAGCGUACCUGUCCGCUACUCGUCAAGAGUCGGCGGUUUGGGGGGGUUGAACUCGUUCUCUCCCUGCUUCGAUUCAAAGACUAUGUUUACUACACCCUAUAAUAAAGUUAAAGAAUGUCUUGUUAUUGACUGCAAAGUCAGUAAACUCUAUA